CAAAAAAUAAAAAACAGGUAUUUGCCGAAAAUAUCUCCUUCAAAAUACAUAAAUACAGGCAAAAAUACAAAAAAAAAUAAAAAAAACAAUAUUGUAUAUACAUUAAAUAAUGCAGAAUACACUCCAAAACAAUCAAUUCCGGCCUCAAAAUCGUCGGAAAAAUUGGAUACAAUACAACAACCACGUCGGUGAUCUGAGAAAUACAAAUACAUACCUGUUCCAGAUCAGAUCAACCUUGCACUAGAGGGGAGUUCUGUGGAGGAACUUUGGCGGUAGAUUAACCCAUAUCAGCCCAUAUCAGAUUUUCAGAUCAGAUCCAACUCCGGCGACUGGAUUCUGGCAUUGUCAACUGCUGCAUUGUUCGAAGUUUAGAGCCUCGAACUCAAAAAUCUGAAAGCCGACUGGAGCCUGGAGCCUCGACCUCAACUUGCCGGAAACCUCGUGCUAACUGGAAUGACAACCUCCUUUUUGACUUCGAACUCACAUCUGAAGAUCUGGCUUACGAGGAGGUGCAUAAAGUGGCAGUGAUGAUGUUUCUAUAUUUGGGCCAGCCAAUCCGGGCAUGGAGAUGACCCGACCCGUAUCUUGGCGAGGCAACCCGGACAGCAGGUGAUCUGCAAUCGGUGUUUGCAGCCAUGGCGGUGUCUUCAAUCUCUUGCUGUAUGCUGGGAAAUUCGCAGGUGGAAUAAUACACUAAAUUCCGUCCCCCCCCCCCCCCCCCCCCCCCAGAACAAAAACCCAAAACAGGGAAAAGUUUAGCCCCGAAAAGAAAGAAAUGAGGCAAAACAGAGAGUAUUGGGAUUUUCUUUGAAGGGUGGUUGCCCCUCUCUGUUGUGCCAUUGAUUGUCCAUUUUCAAACAACCAACAGCCCUUGAAAAUAGCAGAAGCAAACAGGAUUUAUGUCAUAUAUAUAUAUAUGCCGUCGUUUGCAUUUGUUUGUGUAUGUGUGUGUGUUGUUUCUUCAGUGCAGUAAUGAUGAUGUUUCUAUAUCUGGGCUAACCAAUUUGGGCAUGGAGAUGACCUGACCCGUAUCUUGGCAUGGCAACCCGGUAUGGCCUGCGACUGAGACUUCUGUUUCUCACAUGCAGCUGGCGUUUGCAGCCAUGGCGUGGUUGGCUUCUUGUUUGCCUUAUCAUAAUACACAUCUGAGCCCCAUUUUCUUGAAAUAAAUAAAAAUUCACUUAAUAUCCUCAAAAACGUUUUCCAUUAACAAUAUUUUCCUUCAUACUGAACACAUCCUGAGUUUAAAAAUGAUUCUCUUCCCAUUCUCUUGUACACACAGCAGAAAAACUAAAAGCUCAGAUAAAAGAAAUGAGGGUUGCAGAGAGUAGAGUGGAAAGUCCAAAGCGCUGUUGCUCCUCUAUGCAAUACCUGUGAUUUCAUUUUUUGCUGUGAAAAAAAAAAAAAAAGAACUGCGCUUUUGCAAUUAUAAAGUACCAAACGACCCCUUAAGUCUUUGCUUAUUCUCACUCCCAAAGUGAGAAUCAAUGUUUGAUUUUUCUUAAAUGCAGCUGGGAAAUUCCCAGGUGAAAAACACAUGAGAAUCCGGGCAUGGAGGUGCCCUGACCCAUAUCUUGGCAGGGCAACCCGGAUGCAGCCAUGACGCUGGGAAAUGUAGGUGGAAAAAUACGAGAAUAUCCCCUCAAAAGGGGAAAAGGUUAGCCCAGAAAAGAAAGAAAUGAGCCAGAACAAAGAGUAUUGGGAUUUUUUCUGAAAGGGGGGUUGCCCCUCUCGGCUGCGCCAUUUAUUUUCCUCCAUUUUGAAACAAUUAACAGCCCUUGAUAAAACCAGAAGCAAACAGGAUUUCAGUCAUAUAUACCGUCAUUCGCCUAUGUUUUUGUGUGUGUGUGUGUUGUUUUUCCGGUGUGAUUGAAGGUAUGUAAAGAGACAGUGAUGAUGUUUCUAUAUCCGGGCUAACCAAUUCGGGCAUGGAGAUGACCUGACCCCGUAUCUUGGCAUGGCAACCCGUUAUGUCCUGUGAUUGAGACUUCUGUCUCUCGCAUGCAACUGGUAGUUGCAUCCA
Molecule: long non-coding RNA, 2023 nt
Organism: Lycium ferocissimum
Lineage: Eukaryota; Viridiplantae; Streptophyta; Magnoliopsida; Solanales; Solanaceae
Exons: 4
Source: RefSeq, a predicted model, not a curated record